This 74-nucleotide transfer RNA is filed under the name Adineta vaga. Its description in RNAcentral is "tRNA-Ile for anticodon AAU". It matches the Rfam family "tRNA". From Rfam's summary of the family: Transfer RNA (tRNA) molecules are approximately 80 nucleotides in length. Their secondary structure includes four short double-helical elements and three loops (D, anti-codon, and T loops). Lineage: Eukaryota; Metazoa; Rotifera; Eurotatoria; Adinetida; Adinetidae. The record is from RNAcentral.
GCCUGAGUAGCAUAAUUGGUUAGAGCAUUGGUCUAAUAAGCCAAAGGUUGUGAGUUCAAGUCUCACCUCAGGUA